GUGUGUGUAGCUCUGUGGUAGAGCAAGGGCUUAGCAUGUCUGAGGCCCUGGGUUCUAUCCACAACACACACA
This 72-nucleotide transfer RNA is filed under the name Ictidomys tridecemlineatus (thirteen-lined ground squirrel). RNAcentral describes it as "Spermophilus tridecemlineatus (thirteen-lined ground squirrel) tRNA". It matches the Rfam family "tRNA". Rfam says of the family: Transfer RNA (tRNA) molecules are approximately 80 nucleotides in length. Their secondary structure includes four short double-helical elements and three loops (D, anti-codon, and T loops). Further hydrogen bonds mediate the characteristic L-shaped molecular structure. tRNAs have two regions of fundamental functional importance: the anti-codon, which is responsible for specific mRNA codon recognition, and the 3' end, to which the tRNAs corresponding amino acid is attached (by aminoacyl-tRNA synthetases). tRNAs cope with the degeneracy of the genetic code in two manners: having more than one tRNA (with a specific anti-codon) for a particular amino acid; and 'wobble' base-pairing, i.e. permitting non-standard base-pairing at the 3rd anti-codon position. Lineage: Eukaryota; Metazoa; Chordata; Mammalia; Rodentia; Sciuridae. The record is from Rfam by way of RNAcentral.